UCCAGUUAAAAACAGAUGAAUUAAUAUAUUUCAUUAUUGUAAUAAACUCUGUUUCAGCCGUCCCCUCUGUGGUCCCGUAUGUAACUGUUUUGGCUGCUCUUUGUGGUCUAGUAGCUCUUCUCACUGUACUUAUCUGGUGAGAGAUCAACAUGACUAUCAGAACGUUGACCCCAAUGGACAGAAUGACACGUACACAGAUCUUCAGUCCACGGCCAGGUCCUCUGAUGAGGUUUACCUCACAUAAACACUGACCCUAAAGCUCAGGAUGACACGUACACAGCUCUUUAGCCCUCAGCCAGGUCCUCUGAUGAUGUGUACCACACACUUGCAGUAAGUGUCUCUUCACAAAUCCUCCCUCUUGAUUAUAAAACCAAUUUUAUAAAACACAGACUUGCAACCUUGUUUUUUUA
This is a long non-coding RNA of Pygocentrus nattereri (red-bellied piranha), 410 nucleotides long. RefSeq lists it as uncharacterized. The record is from RefSeq and is a predicted model, not a curated record. Lineage: Eukaryota; Metazoa; Chordata; Actinopteri; Characiformes; Serrasalmidae. The transcript is spliced from 3 exons.